This 223-nucleotide unclassified non-coding RNA is filed under the name Hevea brasiliensis (rubber tree). Lineage: Eukaryota; Viridiplantae; Streptophyta; Magnoliopsida; Malpighiales; Euphorbiaceae. The record is from RNAcentral.
GAUUCCAUUGUAUGGGUAAUGUUUAUGCCAUGUAUUAUGGAAACUGAUACUGUUGGUUGUUGAGGUCCUUCAGAAUUGAAGACACAUCAUAUAGGUUGGCUUCAAGUUCUCAAAAACAUUCAUAUUCUAAUUCUAAACUCUGCCCAUUGAUGGCAUAUUAGUGUUCAUUCUUGACACAAGCAUAUAGAAUUUUUUCUUCAGUUUAUGUAUUCCCUCAUUCUCU